CUCUUAUCAAGAGAAGGCGGAGGGAAUGGCCCUGCGAAGCCCGGCAACCGGUGAACAGACUCAUACGGUGCUAAAUCCUGCAGCACUGCUGCAAGAUAAGAG
Molecule: non-coding RNA, 102 nt
Filed under: Sediminibacillus halophilus
Lineage: Bacteria; Bacillati; Bacillota; Bacilli; Caryophanales; Bacillaceae
Description: SAM-I sequence
Rfam family: SAM riboswitch aptamer (S box leader)
About the family: The SAM riboswitch is found upstream of a number of genes which code for proteins involved in methionine or cysteine biosynthesis in Gram-positive bacteria.
Source: RNAcentral